CAAUUUCGAGUGCAAGUGCCACAGUGUCAGCUAAAGAAACACAACUGCGGGUUUUCUGCAGAGCAAAAUGGUUCUGAAAUGUCACUGAAUAGCUCACAAAGGACGCCAAUCUACGACAACAGAGACAUAAGCAUAUAGGAGAAAGGGUCCACACAUCCUCCUUUCAAAGUGUGGAGAAAAGAGAGAGAAAGGGAGAGAAGAGUCAUGGACCCUACUUUAUGGUUGCCAUGGAUGCAAGGUCAGCCUUCCACACUUGGAUCUACCAGCAGAGUUCAGACAGGUCAACGUGUGACCGGCUCAGGCCCUGGGGUUAAAAGUUCAAGCAGCUAUGGAAAAACCAAUAUGUCCACGCAGAGUAUGCUGUACAAUUUAUUUCAAUUUACAUCAAGCCAUGCAUAUAAAAUUUAGAUAAAUUCCAUUCAGAUCUGAUGUUGCCUGACACACAAUGUAUGCAAACAGAUGUCUGUGGGGCUUUUUCUGUGCUUUAGAAAACAACAUUAAAUUUAAAAAUAUGUCUCUGGGAUUUCUUUAUUGAAUUACAAAAUGAACAUAAUUUUAACUUAAAUGUUUUCAUUCUUUUUUCCAAUUUUUUUGUGUGGGGGUCUUAAUAAUUUCUCAGUUCUCAAUCUACUCUAUGUCAUAUUAAAGAGGAUAAUGUAUAUUUACAAAAAAAAAAAA
Molecule: long non-coding RNA, 678 nt
Filed under: Homo sapiens (human)
Lineage: Eukaryota; Metazoa; Chordata; Mammalia; Primates; Hominidae
Description: SKAP1 antisense RNA 2, transcript variant 2 (SKAP1-AS2)
Source: RNAcentral